CAGUCGCCGCGGUAAUACGUAGGGUGCAAGCGUUAAUCGGAAUUACUGGGCGUAAAGCGUGCGCAGGCGGUUAUAUAAGACAGAUGUGAAAUCCCCGGGCUCAACCUGGGAACUGCAUUUGUGACUGUAUAGCUAGAGUACGGCAGAGGGGGAUGGAAUUCCGCGUGUAGCAGUGAAAUGCGUAGAUAUGCGGAGGAACACCGAUGGCGAAGGCAAUCCCCUGGGCCUGUACUGACGCUCAUGCACGAAAGCGUUGGGAGCAAACAGGAUUAGAUACCCCCGUAGUCCCUGUCUCUUAUAC
This 301-nucleotide ribosomal RNA is filed under the name uncultured bacterium. RNAcentral describes it as "partial 16S ribosomal RNA". It matches the Rfam family "Bacterial small subunit ribosomal RNA", at positions 509 to 807 of the family's 1533-position model. The record is from RNAcentral.